This 493-nucleotide ribosomal RNA is filed under the name uncultured bacterium. RNAcentral's name for it is "bacterial SSU rRNA". It matches the Rfam family "Bacterial small subunit ribosomal RNA", at positions 28 to 517 of the family's 1533-position model. The record is from RNAcentral.
GAUGAACGCUAGCGGCAGGCUUAAUACAUGCAAGUCGAGGGGCAGCGCAGUGUAGCAAUACAUGGGCGGCGACCGGCAAACGGGUGCGGAACACGUACGCAAUCUACCCAAAACUGAUGAAUAGCCCUCCGAAAGGAGGAUUAAUACAUCGUAACUUAAUGAAGUGGCAUCGCUUUAUUAAUAUAGCUCCGGCGGUUUUGGAUGAGCGUGCGCCUGAUUAGGAGUUGGCGGGGUAACGGCCCACCAAGCCUGCGAUCAGUAACUGGUGUGAGAGCACGACCAGUCACACGGGCACUGAGACACGGGCCCGACUCCUACGGGAGGCAGCAGUAAGGAAUAUUGGUCAAUGGACGCAAGUCUGAACCAGCCAUGCCGCGUGAAGGAUGAAGGUCCUCUGGAUUGUAAACUUCUUUUAUCUGGGACGAAACCUCUUAUUCUUAAGAGACUGACGGUACCAGAGGAAUAAGCACCGGCUAACUCGUGCCAGCCGCCG